GAUGAACGCUGGCGGCGUGCCUAAUACAUGCAAGUCGAGCGAACGGACGAGAAGCUUGCUUCUCUGAUGUUAGCGGCGGACGGGUGAGUAACACGUGGAUAACCUACCUAUAAGACUGGGAUAACUUCGGGAAACCGGAGCUAAUACCGGAUAAUAUUUUGAACCGCAUGGUACAAAAGUGAAAGACGGUCUUGCUGUCACUUAUAGAUGGAUCCGCGCUGCAUUAGCUAGUUGGUAAGGUAACGGCUUACCAAGGCAACGAUGCAUAGCCGACCUGAGAGGGUGAUCGGCCACACUGGAACUGAGACACGGUACAGACUCCUACGGGAGGCAGCAGUAGGGAAUCUUCCGCAAUGGGCGAAAGCCUGACGGAGCAACGCCGCGUGAGUGAUGAAGGUCUUCGGAUCGUAAAACUCUGUUAUUAGGGAAGAACAUAUGUGUAAGUAACUGUGCACAUCUUGACGGUACCUAAUCAGAGAGCCACGGCUAACUACGUG
Molecule: ribosomal RNA, 497 nt
Filed under: uncultured bacterium
Lineage: Bacteria
Description: partial 16S ribosomal RNA
Rfam family: Bacterial small subunit ribosomal RNA
Source: RNAcentral